Drosophila melanogaster (fruit fly) is the source of this 402-nucleotide non-coding RNA. The record is from Ensembl. Lineage: Eukaryota; Metazoa; Arthropoda; Insecta; Diptera; Drosophilidae.
GAUGACGGGCCCCAAAGAUACACAGAUACUUGCCGAGCAACGUCACGGGCUUCGGUCCCCAACUCUUCGUACCGAGCACUACGUGUAUCAUUGGGAAUAACAGUCAGACUCUCGGACUUUCGGACAUCCCAUCUCUGAUGAAAUGCACGCUUGACUCCGCUGGCAUGUGUAUUUGUUACCAGCCCAUACAGGCCAACUUCCAUAAAUCGAUAUUUUAGUAUAGUAUUUUAUAUCUUCUCUUCUCAUGCUGUAGGGGUUUUAAAACUUUGUUAUUUUUAAAAGAUACCAUGGAAAAUUUUAUUCAAAGAAAAGCUAAUCGGUUUUUCUAUAAGCCUAUUUAAACUUCACAUGCAAAUAUAUCAUUAUUUUGACGAAUUUUAAAAAUGAUUAAAUGUCAGAAAU